AUUGAACGCUGGCGGAAUGCUUUACACAUGCAAGUCGAACGGCAGCACGGGAGCUUGCUCCUGGUGGCGAGUGGCGAACGGGUGAGUAACAUAUCGGAACGUACCCAGUAAUGGGGAGUAACUAGUCGAAAGAUUAGCUAAUACCGCAUACGCCCUGAGGGGUAAAGGACGGGGAUCGGUAAGACCUCGCGUUAUUGGAGCGGCCGAUAUCUGAUUAGCUAGUUGGUGGGGAUAAAGGCCAUACCAAGGCGACGAUCAGUAGCUGGUCUGAGAGGACGACCAGCCACACUGGAACCUGAGACACGGUCCAGACUCCUACGGGAGGCAGCAGUGGGG
RNAcentral lists this ribosomal RNA (336 nucleotides) under uncultured bacterium. RNAcentral describes it as "bacterial SSU rRNA". It matches the Rfam family "Bacterial small subunit ribosomal RNA", at positions 30 to 359 of the family's 1533-position model. The record is from RNAcentral.